AAUCAACGCUGGCGGCGUGCCUCAGACAUGCAAGUCGAACGCGAAAGUCCCCUUCGGGGGACGAAGUAGAGUGGCGCACGGGUGAGUAACACGUAGGUAAUCUACCUUCGGAUGGGGAAGUAACAACCGGAAACGGUUGCUAAUACCGCAUAAUGCAGCGGCACCUAAUGGUGACAGUUGUUAAAGCGGGGGAGUCGAAAGACCCCGCGUCUGAAGAGGAGCCUGCGGCGGAUUAGCUAGNGGUUAAGGUAAUGGCUUACCAAGGCGACGAUCCGUAGCCGGCCUGAGAGGGCGGUCGGCCACACUGACACUGACAUACGGGUCAGACUCCUACGGGAGGCAGCAGUCGGG
This 351-nucleotide ribosomal RNA is filed under the name uncultured bacterium. RNAcentral's name for it is "bacterial SSU rRNA". It matches the Rfam family "Bacterial small subunit ribosomal RNA", at positions 32 to 359 of the family's 1533-position model. The record is from RNAcentral.